UGGGAUGUAGCUCAGUGGUAGAGCACUGCCUGAAAUGUGCAAGGCCCUGGAUUCAAUCUCCAGCACUGUAA
Molecule: transfer RNA, 71 nt
Filed under: Heterocephalus glaber (naked mole-rat)
Lineage: Eukaryota; Metazoa; Chordata; Mammalia; Rodentia; Bathyergidae
Rfam family: tRNA
About the family: Transfer RNA (tRNA) molecules are approximately 80 nucleotides in length.
Source: Rfam by way of RNAcentral